CCACCUCCUCUGUCACUCAUCUGUAGAGGGACAUAGAUUAUGGAGAGGUAAACGCAGCGUUGAGGGCUCAGCAGCCAUUAUGGAGGCAAGACAAAUAGUCUUUAAUCAUUACGAAAGGGUGGAGACCUUACCUUGUUAGCAUAAAACAUAGACCUGUUAUACUGUACAUGUGAGUGUGUAACUCCACCCUUAGUAACCAUGUAUCAAACAAUAGUGUGCUGAGUCAAUCCUGUCUAAAUAUAGAUGCAUAACAUAAUCAGCCAGGAGCUGAUUAUGUCAAUAAUUGGGGUUGGUAUCUGGACAGAUGAUGGAUCUGGAAUGAUAAUGAGGGUUUAUGGAGUUUAGGUCAUGUAAUUAAGCAGCUGAACAGUCAGCGUAACAAGAACAAUGGGGCAAAGGGUGAAAACACAUUUCAGAAUGGGGACAAAAAGAAAGCAUUGAUUCUACUUUCUUUCCAUAGCUUCCAUAGCAAGUAUCACAUAAUCACCUUAAAGUACAAAUAAUGUGUGUUACAUACUUAUGCAUGGCUUUAGUACAGGAAGGAUUACUAUCUACUAUUUUUUUUGGAGUAAAGAAGUUUAAGUUAAGAACUGUUUCUAUUCUUGGUUUGAGAAUUUGGGGCAUUCAACGAACACCUUCCUUGUUCUUUCUUUCAACUUGUGACAUUUUAGAAAGCUUAACUAAUGUUGUGUUAAUGUUUGCUAAUGCAUUCUGGGGUUUUAUAGCCACUCCUGCCAUCAUGAAUGGUAUUUGCUCACCUUGCACUCUUUUGCAACAUAAACACAGAAGAAUCUGAAUUCCCUGAUGUGACUUUCCAUAUGACAGAACACACACUGCCCUUCCCUUUGUCCUUCCUUUCUGGUACGUUAAAGUGAUUUUACUCUGGUUUUUACUGUAGGGCUAAAGUAAAUGCAAUGAAUGCACCAGAA
Sander lucioperca (pikeperch) is the source of this 929-nucleotide long non-coding RNA. RefSeq lists it as uncharacterized. The transcript has 2 exons. NCBI's taxonomy places the organism in Eukaryota, Metazoa, Chordata, Actinopteri, Perciformes, Percidae. The record is from RefSeq and is a predicted model, not a curated record.